GAUGAACGCUGGCGGCGUGCCUAAUACAUGCAAGUCGAGCGAACGGACGAGAAGCUUGCUUCUCUGAUGUUAGCGGCGGACGGGGGAGUAACACGUGGAUAACCUACCUAUAAGACUGAGAUAACUUCGUGAAACCGGAGCUAAUACCGGAUAAUAUUUUGAACCGCAUGGUUCAAAAGUGAAAGACGGUCUUGCUGUCACUUAUAGAUGGAUCCGCGCUGCAUUAGCUAGUUGGUAAGGUAACGGCUUACCAAGGCAACGAUGCAUAGCCGACCUGAGAGGGUGGUCGGCCACACGGGAACUGAGACACGGUCCAGACUCCUACGGGAGGCAGCAGUAGGGAAUCUUCCGCAAUGGGCGAAAGCCUGACGGAGCAACGCCGCGUGAGUGAUGAAGGUCUUCGGAUCGUAAAACUCUGUUAUUAGGGAAGAACAUAUGUGUAAGUAACUGUGCACAUCUUGACGGUACCUAAUCAGAAAGCCACGGCUAACUACGUG
Molecule: ribosomal RNA, 497 nt
Filed under: uncultured bacterium
Lineage: Bacteria
Description: partial 16S ribosomal RNA
Rfam family: Bacterial small subunit ribosomal RNA
Source: RNAcentral